GGAGGGGGAUUCCCCAGCCAUCGCCCUGUGGGCAGUUUGGUGAGGAAACCUGUGGCCACAGAUUACACGAGACAGAGGUGCCACAGAAGAACCAGUCUUGGCCACAAGGUCUCUGUAUAGCGUGACACGGAGCCCAGUGUACCCGCGGCUAUUUGUUUUCUGCAGAAGAAGGGCCCCCACCCUGUCACCUGGGUCUUCUGGCAGCUCAGACCCACUCCCAGGCCUUCCCCAACACCUCCGCCACUGGACAGUUAUUUGCUUGGCAGAAUCUGUUUGUCUUUGGGGCUGUAACCUGUCAAGAAGUCACCAGGCCCUGGGAGAAAGAAGCAGAUUUGAUGGUAGCUCCUGGCCGGAACCAUUCCCACGGGGGCUAGGUGACGGAGGGCGCUCAGCCGAGCUUUUGUCUGGGGGUGUGGUGGCGGAGGUUGCAGUGGUGUGGGCCCAGCCCUCCAGGCAGAGCAAACAGGUCUUCUCGGCCACCUCCCUGUCCCAGCUCAGGUGGUGCUGGGUGCCUCCCACCCUGUUCUUGGGAAGGCCCCUCCUUUAUCUGCUUGCUCUGACCCGGCCACUUUCCCAGACACCGCGUGGUGUCCAGCCCUGUCUGGCGGCCAAGAGAACAGGCUCCAAGGGCACUCAUGGCCGCCCUUUAUUUCAAUAAUUAAGUAAUGGGAGCUGGAGAAGGAAAUGGCAACCCACUCCAGUAUUCUUGGCCAGAGAAUCCCAUGGACAGAGGAGCCUGGCAGGUUGCAGUCCAUGGGGUUGCAAGAGUCGGACACGACUUAGCGACUAAACCACCACCACCACCAGAGCAGGGAGCGGGCAAGGCUGCUUGAGAAGAGUAUAUGAGUUUGGGAGUCACGAGUGUUCAGAGAAUGGAUUCUGACAAGCUAGCGUGACUGACGGAUGGGCCUCAGAUACCUCCUCUGUAAAAUGGAGAUGUAUUGGAUUAGAAAGCAGGACUUGGGUGGAACUCACAGGUUUUUAAAAAUAUUCUGAGGUUCUGUGAUCUGGAAUAGUGCUUCUCAAACCUGACUGUUAAAAAUGCAAAUUCUGAUUUAGUAGAUCCUGCGGAAGAGGACAAGAUUCCACCAUUCUAACAAGCACCCUAGUGAAUGGGCUCUGCUAGUCCUCCGACCGCACUUCACGUGAGGAUAGUAGGUGGUGGUCUGAAGGGGUUCACCCACCCCUGCAGCCACCUGGGCUAGGAGACCAAGCCAGAUCUAGCCAGGGCUGUGUUGUCCAGACCCACGAGAAUUGGAGGGAGCUGAGAUCUUUUAGAACGGUAAUGUUCAAGCUGGGCCGUGGCUCCCCGACAUUUCCCAGGGUUUAUCCAAGGCUGUGAUUUCUGCCUUAAAUAUUAUUUCUAGCGUUCUGUUUUUCCAUCACAAACAAUAAAUGUCUGAGUGUCCACCAUAAUUAUGGUACUAUUGGCUGACCAACUCCUAUUAAACUGUUUAUAUGGAUGACCUCAUUUAACCCUUACAACCUUCUAG
Long non-coding RNA from Bos taurus (domestic cattle), 1493 nucleotides. NCBI's taxonomy places the organism in Eukaryota, Metazoa, Chordata, Mammalia, Artiodactyla, Bovidae. The record is from Ensembl.